Long non-coding RNA from Fundulus heteroclitus (mummichog), 290 nucleotides. RefSeq lists it as uncharacterized. The transcript has 4 exons. Lineage: Eukaryota; Metazoa; Chordata; Actinopteri; Cyprinodontiformes; Fundulidae. The record is from RefSeq and is a predicted model, not a curated record.
GGGAACUAUGGGAGGAAUUUGGCUUCUGGGUUUUUGUGCAGUCGCAUUGUGGCUUAAAGGGUCUUGUUUACCGAUUGAUCAUAAUGGAGGAAUACACUAUGAACCAAAAGGGACUGGAAACUCCCUGUCCCAAAAUGAGAUUCCUCUAAAGAGAAAGGUUGCUUUACUUCAGUCAAUGGAUUACAGGUUGCUGGGAACUUCAAAAGAAGUGCAACUGGAAACCAAUGAAGUGGAAUUGGACGUGUCAAGCGACGCCUCCCACAACGUGUCGAGCGACGCCUCCCACAACG